GAUGAACGCUGGCGGCGUGCCUAAUACAUGCAAGUCGAGCGAACGGACGAGAAGCUUGCUUCUCUGAUGUUAGCGGCGGACGGGUGAGUAACACGUGGAUAACCUACCUAUAAGACUGGGAUAACUUCGGGAAACCGGAGCUAAUACCGGCUGAUAUUUUGAACCGCAUGGUUCAAUAGUGAAAGACGGUCUUGCUGUCUCUUAUAGAUGGAUCCGCGCUGCAUUAGCUAGUUGGUAAGGUAACGGCUUACCAAGGCAACGAUGCAUAGCCGACCUGAGAGGGUGUUCGGCCACACUGGAACUGAGACACGGUCCAGACUCCUACGGGAGGCAGCAGUAGGGAAUCUUCCGCAAUGGGCGAAAGCCUGACGGAGCAACGACGCGUGAGUGAUGAAGGUCUUCGGAUCGUAAAACUCUGUUAUUAGGGAAGAACAUAUGUGUAAGUAACUGUGCACAUCUUGACGGUACCUAAUCAGAAAGCCACGGCUAACUACGUG
Molecule: ribosomal RNA, 497 nt
Filed under: uncultured bacterium
Lineage: Bacteria
Description: partial 16S ribosomal RNA
Rfam family: Bacterial small subunit ribosomal RNA
Source: RNAcentral